AAUUUACUAAUGAAGAAAAAAAACACAUUACCUUUAAGUAUAUGUGGCUGCCUUUGUGGUUUUAUUCUGCUAUUUUUCGGGCACAACUACAGUUGUUCUCUAAGCUCCUGCCCCUCGAGCCUCUGAGCUUUAAUGGCCAGAGAUUAAUGGAACCUGUCCAGUGUAACAAACCAGAAAUGCAUACCAACUAGGCACCUAGGUACACACAAAUAGAUAUUGUCAAUUUACUUAGGACAGUGGCCGUGGGCACCAUCUGCAGUCGACGGCUCUCCAUGCUUGUUUGAUCACAGGGAGACUUUUGUCACUUGAACAAACCAAAUGAAGUGUGAAGUUUUCAGGCCAUUAUACAGUAUGCACAGUAAUGCUGGGCCGUCUCUUACGCUCAAAACCGAAACUCAGAAGCCAUCAGGAAUGAUGCACAUCAGCUAGCUUUACAGGCCAUUUCAUUAUCUGUAAAAACACAGGCCAACCUAGAACUUUUCUCAUAACCUUUUGCUCUAUAGCCUUGAAGGACUUAUGACUGCUUCAGGGUGAACCUUUUCUUUUUCUUUUUUUACAGUGCAAUCUGAGAUUUUUCUGUCUCUUUCCGCAAUGGCUGACUUUAAAGGGGACAUAGAAAAUCAAUAGGUCUCAUUAGAUCAGUUAAAAAAAUAUUUUGUUGUCCUUUAUGUCUUUAUGGGGUGAGGAUUCAUGUCAUGAAAGCGUCCUCUCAGGAAAUUGUGGGUGGAAGGAACGGACCAUUUCUGAAAAUGAUAAUACGAGCAAUAUUCAGAAAAAUAAUAUGAAUAUCCAGCAGUACAGAAGGAAUGAAAAAGGGACAGGCAGAAAUUUAUCACAUUCAAACAGUUUGGAUUUAAUUUAAGAAAGGCAAAGGCUGUCUCUGACCCGAAUGUGACCACGCUUUUCACAUCCAAUUAUUUCUUCUGCCAUGACGAGCAGAAAUCAUUUUUUUUAGAACGGGAACAUAAUGGUGGGUGAAAUGACAGGUUGAGUGAAUGCAUCUCUCUCUACGGCUGUUUUCAAAGGACUGACAGUUGCUCUCCACCAGCUCUUUGGCAUAGAACAAUGAAAAGCAGCAAGGAGCCGACUUGCCAUCUGUAGUAUGACUGAGUCUGUACCGCAAAUUCCAGUUACACUUGCUGUUUCAUCUACGGAUGCACAGAGUCUGACAUGAAAAGCAGGACAGGGCAGGAACCGCAAGCCAGGUUCUCCUCCAAUAAGCUCAGCAGGAACAGGCACGAUUUUUUCCCUCCAUCUGUAGCUACUGAAGUGCAAGCGUGUCUCAUCCGCCUGUCAAUCACACACUUUAUAGCAGCAAAAUCCAUCUGGGGAAGAUAGAGACUGUUUGAAUUAUUAGUGUCACACUGCUGAAUCUAGAUAGGUACUGUUUUUGCUAUCCUCUGACUAUAAUUUCUUAUAAAAGAGGGAUGUCUGAUCUGAGAUCAGUGUCAUAACACUGAGAUAAAAAUGCAGGCCUUGGUUUGAGGGUCAUAGAAUCACAAUUUCAGGCACGGGGUGGCUAAAAGUAGAGCUUUUCCACCAGUUUUUGUUAUAUAAGCAAGAUCGAAUGGUUAUCUUUUUUGAAGGAGUAAGAUUGUGUUUCAUUUCGAUCUGCUGCUGCGGAGGACUGUGAACUGAAACUACUUGGUUGUUGUACUGUAAAAAGAUUUGUUUGAAAGCUGUUUAAGAGAAUUGAUCGAUAUUAAAGAGACAGUUCACCUAAAAAUGUUGUUCCAAGCUCAAUUAUUUUUAUUUUCUUUCAAUGGAACAUGAAAGGAGAUAUUUGGCAGAAUGUCUGAGCUGCUCUUUACAAUGACAUUGAAUGGAAAAGUACACUGCCACACUUCAAACAAAAAAACACCAGAGAAAUGCCCCAAAAAUAGUCUGUACGGCUAUAUUCCAAGUUUUCUUUAGUAGUCCAGUACUCUUGUUUGACAUUAAGGAUUUGUUCUCAGACGUCUUGUGACUGAUAGCAGCACAUUUAAAUGUUUUGAUUGGAGGAUAACUGAGAGCUAAAUGAAUUGCACAGUCUGUUUGGCAAAGA
Carassius auratus (goldfish) is the source of this 2044-nucleotide long non-coding RNA. RefSeq lists it as uncharacterized. The transcript has 3 exons. NCBI's taxonomy places the organism in Eukaryota, Metazoa, Chordata, Actinopteri, Cypriniformes, Cyprinidae. The record is from RefSeq and is a predicted model, not a curated record.